GCCAAUGUUGCAUAAUGGUUUGGGUGUUGGACUCCAGCUCUGAAGACCUGAGUUCGAUUCUCACCUCAGCCA
This is a non-coding RNA of Phrynosoma platyrhinos (Desert horned lizard), 72 nucleotides long. The record is from the annotation of a GenBank genome assembly. NCBI's taxonomy places the organism in Eukaryota, Metazoa, Chordata, Lepidosauria, Squamata, Phrynosomatidae.